UACGGGGGGAGCAAGCGUUGUUCGGAUUUACUGGGCGUAAAGGGCGCGUAGGCGGUCAGCUCAAGUCAGACGUGAAAUCCCCCGGCUUAACCUGGGAACUGCGUCUGAUACUGGAGGGCUUGAGUAUGGGAGAGGGAUGUAGAAUUCCAGGUGUAGCGGUGAAAUGCGUAGAUAUCUGGAGGAAUACCGGUGGCGAAGGCGGCAUCCUGGACCAUAACUGACGCUGAGGCGCGAAAGCUAGGGGAGCAAACGGG
Molecule: ribosomal RNA, 254 nt
Filed under: uncultured bacterium
Lineage: Bacteria
Description: partial 16S ribosomal RNA
Rfam family: Bacterial small subunit ribosomal RNA
Source: RNAcentral